CCAUGAAGCUGGAUUCGCUAGUAAUCGCGCAUCAGCCACGGCGCGGUGAAUACGUUCCCGGGCCUUGUACACACCGCCCGUCAAGCCAUGGAAGCCGGGAGUGCCUGAAGUGCGUGACCGCAAGGAGCGUCCUAAGGCAAUACCGGUGACUGGGGCUAAGUCGUAACAAGGUAAC
This 175-nucleotide ribosomal RNA is filed under the name uncultured bacterium. Its description in RNAcentral is "partial 16S ribosomal RNA". It matches the Rfam family "Bacterial small subunit ribosomal RNA", at positions 1318 to 1500 of the family's 1533-position model. The record is from RNAcentral.